GACAGAGGAUGCAAGCAUUAUCCGGAAUGAUUGGGCAUAAAGCGUCUGUAGGUGGCUUUUCAAGUCCACCGUCAAAUCCCAGGGCUCAACCCUGGAUAGGCGGUGGAAACUACUAAGCUGGAGUACGGUAGGGGCAGAGGAAAUUUCCAGUGGAGCGGUGAAAUGCGUAGAGAUCGGAAAGAACACCAAUGGCGAAAGCACUCUGCUGGGCCGACACUGACACUGAGAGAUGAAAGCUAGGGGAGCAAAUGGG
Molecule: ribosomal RNA, 253 nt
Filed under: uncultured bacterium
Lineage: Bacteria
Description: partial 16S ribosomal RNA
Rfam family: Bacterial small subunit ribosomal RNA
Source: RNAcentral